GGAGCAGACUGUACUGAAGUUGAAAAUGUUCAGUCGUUAUGAAGGGAUAACUCAUGUAUAUGCACAUUUUCCUCAAAAGAAUUAAAGUCAGCACAGUGGGACUUCCUCCUAGGAGCACCACUGAGAUGGAACCAUUGGGCUUUGGAAUCUCCUCUAAGGAUCAGAUGGGAUCAUUGGGAUGUUACUGUGAUGCAAAUAAUAAAUGGGACAGUAAUGGUCCCAAACUACAUUAUCACGUUGGAUGAUUAUUGUCAUCCCAUUUCCCCUACAAGUUGAUGCACUGAAAAAUGGUUAAGUGGUUUUCUACUUCUUUUAUUCUCUUUAAUUUGAAGUUUAACUGCUGCCAGAUUGGAUGACCAUGCCACUGAAUCUGUUCAGUUAUUUUUAUCAAACAAACCACGAGUGCUCUGAAGCAGGUUACUCCACCCACAGUGAAAGGAAGAACAGCUGGUGGACUAAGGCCUUGGCUACACUUGAGAGUUACAGUGCAAUAAAGCCACCCACAGUGCUGUAACACUCCCCGUCCACACUGGUAAGGCACGUACAGCGCUGUAUCUCUGUGGCUACAGCGGUGCUUGUACUCCACCUCCCCAAGAGGAAUAAAGAGUAUUGUGCUGCUGCUGCUGUGCUGCGGCGCCAGUGUGGCUACCCAAUGCGCUCUUAUUGGCCUCCAGAAGUAUUCGGCAGUAUCCCACAAUGCCUGUUCUAGCCACUCUGCUCAUCAGUUCGAACUCUGCUGCCCUGGCCUCAGGUGACCAACCGUC
Mauremys reevesii (Reeves's turtle) is the source of this 764-nucleotide long non-coding RNA. RefSeq lists it as uncharacterized. The transcript is spliced from 4 exons. NCBI's taxonomy places the organism in Eukaryota, Metazoa, Chordata, Testudines, Geoemydidae. The record is from RefSeq and is a predicted model, not a curated record.